UAUGGAGCUUUAAACAAAAAUAGAUCUUGUUAAACAUAUCUUAAUUAAAGAAGUGAACCGAAAGAAUCCUAUCAUUAUGUUUUUGGUUGGGGCGACCGCGGGGAAACAAACAACCCCCAUGUGGACUAAGAAAACAUUUCUCACAAUAAAGAGCCACAGCUCUAAUUUAACAGAAUUUCUGACCUAUAGAUCCGGCAAUGCCGAUCAACGGACCGAGUUACCCUA
RNAcentral lists this ribosomal RNA (225 nucleotides) under Betta splendens (Siamese fighting fish). RNAcentral's name for it is "partial 16S ribosomal RNA". Lineage: Eukaryota; Metazoa; Chordata; Actinopteri; Anabantiformes; Osphronemidae. The record is from RNAcentral.